GACGGAGGAUGCAAGCGUUAUCCGGAAUGAUUGGGCGUAAAGCGUCCGCAGGUGGCAGUUCAAGUCUGCUGUCAAAGACCGGGGCUUAACUUCGGAAAGGCAGUGGAAACUGAACAGCUAGAGUAUGGUAGGGGCAGAGGGAAUUCCUGGUGUAGCGGUGAAAUGCGUAGAUAUCAGGAAGAACAUCGGUGGCGAAGGCGCUCUGCUGGACCAUAACUGACACUCAGGGACGAAGGCUAGGGGAGCGAAUGGG
Molecule: ribosomal RNA, 253 nt
Filed under: uncultured bacterium
Lineage: Bacteria
Description: partial 16S ribosomal RNA
Rfam family: Bacterial small subunit ribosomal RNA
Source: RNAcentral